GACCCCAGGUCAGGUAGGGUCACCUGCUGAGUUUA
This 35-nucleotide ribosomal RNA is filed under the name Galanthus nivalis (common snowdrop). Its description in RNAcentral is "partial 26S ribosomal RNA". The record is from RNAcentral. Lineage: Eukaryota; Viridiplantae; Streptophyta; Magnoliopsida; Asparagales; Amaryllidaceae.